AACGAACGCUGGCGGCAUGCCUAACACAUGCAAGUCGAACGAGACCUUCGGGUCUAGUGGCGCACGGGUGCGUAACGCGUGGGAACCUGCCCUUAGGUUCGGAAUAACUCACCGAAAGGGGUGCUAAUACCGGAUAAUGUCUUCGGACCAAAGAUUUAUUGCCUUUGGUUGGGCCCGCGUUGGAUUAGCUAGUUGGUAGGGUAAAAGCCUACCAAGGCGACGAUCCAUAGCUGGUCGGGGAGGAUGAUCAGCCACACUGGGACUGAGACACGGCCCAGACUCCGACGGGAGGCAGCAGUAGGGAAUAUUGGACAAUGGGCGAAAGCCUGAUACAGCAAUGCCGCGUGAGUGAUGAAGGCCUUAGGGUUGUAAAGCUCUUUUACCCGAGAUGAUAAUGACAGUACCGGGUGAAGAAGCACCGGCUAACUACGUG
RNAcentral lists this ribosomal RNA (433 nucleotides) under uncultured bacterium. RNAcentral's name for it is "partial 16S ribosomal RNA". It matches the Rfam family "Bacterial small subunit ribosomal RNA", at positions 29 to 507 of the family's 1533-position model. The record is from RNAcentral.